CACUCCAACGCCUUCUGCUCGGGGAGACUGCGAGGAGCUUGCAACAGGCGGAGACAGAUGGGAGUUAAUGGGAGGGACGAAGAAUAUAAAAAAUAUUUGGGUAUUUUUCUGAUUUGAAAAACAUUUUCUGCAGUAAACGCAAGUGAGUCUGGUGGUGCAGGGAAAAAAAGUGAGGAGGGGGCGCUUACUGCACAUUUAAUGUUUUGGACGUAAGGUUCCAGCGAAAUGCCUUUGUGUGUGGAGGUUUGUUCAGUACUUGCUAAAAAUAGCAUCAGGGUUUGAUCGUGUUCCAGAAAUAAACCGAGGGCUGCACUGGGAUAAAAAGCCAGCGCGGGUGGAAGAAAACCUGGACAUCACCGCAUUCCUCCCCCCACAACUAUGUCUGGAAAUUAAUUGUUGGAUUUUUCCUCUCCUCUCUCCUCUUUCCAUCCACUUUCUCUUUCCUCCCCCUAUGUUUCUCUUUCUCUCUCUUAAGGAGUUCCCGUUUGGGUGAUCAAACCUGUCCUGACACCUGGAGGUCUGCAUGAGGGGUGGUCACUGAAGGAGGAGUUCUCAAAGGCCACAGGUAAUGAAGACCUUGGAUGAAUGAGCUUAGAAGUCCCAGGAAAAUGCAAAAAUUUCAUCUCCUGAAGAGAUCUGAAGUUUUUUUUGUUUUUUUUGAGAUUCUUUUAAAGGUGAAACUUUUCUUCUUUAGAUGCAGAGACAAAGUUUUGCCAUGCUGCCCAGCUGGUCUUGAACUCCUGGACUCAAGCAAUCCUCCUGACUUGGCUUGCCAUAGUGCUGGGACUACAGGGGAUUUGUAAUGGAGUACUCUGGGGAACAACAUCCGUAAGGGAGUGAAGGAAGCUGGAGGAAGCUGAAAGAGAAGUUGAGCUGCACUGCAGUAUAAUGGAAGCUUCAGGAAAUUCCACUGGGAGCUCUGAAGCUGGGAAGGCUUUUCAGAGAUGUUCAUAGUUGAGGUGGAGUUUUGCUCUUGUUGCCCAGGUUGGAAUGCAAUGGUGCAAUCUCAGCUCACCACAACCUCCACCUCCCGGGUUCCAGCAAUUCUUCUGCCUCAGCCUCCCAAGUAGCUGGGAUUACAGGCAUGUGUCACCAAGCCCAGCUAAUUUUGUAUUUUCAGUUGAGACAGGGUUUCUCCAAGUUGGUCAGGCUGGUCUUGAACUCCCGACCUCAGGUAAUCCACCCACCUUGGCCUCCCAAAGUGCUGGGAUUACAGGCUUGAGCCACCACGCCCUGUCUCACUAUGGUAUUUUUAACUAUAUAUUAUUGAGUGGAGAAAGAAAGUUGUUGAAUUAUUUUUGUAUGAUCACAGCUUUUACUUCUAAAAAAGUAUAUAUGUAUAUGUUGUGUAUAUUAUAUAGCUUCAUACUUAGAAAUGGAAAUGAAAAGAAAAAGAAAUGGAAGAAUACAGUACAAAUUGCCAACUGUUAGUGGGAAUAGAAAAUGGGGUGGGAUGCUUUUUUGUUUCAUAUAAUUCCAUGUGCUUUUGAAACUAAAAAAUAAGUAAAAUUUUAAAACUACAUCUUCUAAUCACUUGUGUCAAAAUACUGAUUUCAGUUUUAUUUGAGAAACAGGUUUACAGAAGACUAUGAAUGUGAGUCUAAGUUCUAUUAUAAAAUAGGUGGCAGAGUAGAAAGAGCCCUGCAUUUUUAGUGCAGACAUCUUGGUUCUAGAAAGAGGCCUGCUACAGUAAAGUGUUCAUUCCCCAAGAAGUUUAACUUAAAGAGUUAAUUUUCUUGUUGAAAAAAUGGAGGCGUUAUUUUGAAGUUUGAAUGGGGUAAUGUAUGUGAACUGACUUUGAAGUUGAUAAUGCAAUAUUAAAGCAUAAUAAAUGUUUUUUUGUUUGUUUUUGAGACAGUCUCGCUCUGUCGCCCAAGCUAGAGGGCUGUAGUGCAAACUUGGCUCACUGCAAUUCCUCCUCCUCGGUUCAAGGGAUUCUCCUGCCUCAGCCUCUAGAGCAGCUGGGAUUAUAGGCACCUGCCACCGCAUUUGGCUCAUUUUGGUAUUUUUAGUAGAGGCGGGGUUUUACCGUGUUAGCCAGUCUGGUCACCAACUCUUGACCUCAGGUGAUCCACCUGCCUUGGCUUCUCAAAGUGCUGGGAUUGUAGGCGUGAGCCACCUCACCCAGACGAUAAAUGUUAAUCUUCCUUUCUUACUGUAAUAUUGCUUGUUAAAUAAAUUAAAUAUUAACGUUUGGGAAAUCUCCCGAUUUCUAAUGCUAAAAACUCACUUUCUUUUAAAUUGGUUUGUUCAUCACAACACUUUUCUUUUUAACCCAGGAUUAGACAACUGAAUUUAAAGGUAGGUUGAAGUUCAAUAUUUUGAACAAUGUUUAAAUGAAGAUGAAAGAGACGAUAGAACUGUUAAAAGGUUUUAUUAUGCAGCCAAACGAAGGAGUCAGCUGUGUCCCAAAGGAUUAAACGAGAUGGUAUGCUUAAUAAUUCCCUGUGUCUAUGAAAUUCCCUCAUUAUGAAAUGUUCUUUCAUUCUAUUGAACGACUCCUGAUUUCAUCAGGAGACUCUGAUCUGAAACUCAAUUUACAGAAAUAUUAAGAAUGAAUUUUCAACUAAAUGGGAAUAUCUGUAUACUAAUAUGAUACAAUAUUGUUGCUUCAUAUUUUUCCAUAUUAAAUACCAUUCUAAACUUUAAAUUUGUUAAUAAAUGAAGCUGAAAUCUAA
Molecule: non-coding RNA, 2678 nt
Organism: Callithrix jacchus (white-tufted-ear marmoset)
Lineage: Eukaryota; Metazoa; Chordata; Mammalia; Primates; Cebidae
Source: RefSeq, a predicted model, not a curated record